AUUGAACGCUGGCGGCAGGCUUAACACAUGCAAGUCGAGCGGAGAGAGGUAGCUUGCUACUGAUCUUAGCGGCGGACGGGUGAGUAAUGCUUAGGAAUCUGCCUAUUAGUGGGGGACAACAUUUCGAAAGGAAUGCUAAUACCGCAUACGUCCUACGGGAGAAAGCAGGGGAGCUUCGGACCUUGCGCUAAUAGAUGAGACAAAGUCGGAUUAGCUAGUUGGUGGGGUAAAGGCCUACCAAGGCGACGAUCUGUAGCGGGUCUGAGAGGAUGAUCCGCCACACUGGGACUGAGACACGGCCCAGACUCCUACGGGAGGCAGCAGUGGGGAAUAUUGGACAAUGGGCGGAAGCCUGAUCCAGCCAUGCCGCGUGUGUGAAGAAGGCCUUAUGGUUGUAAAGCACUUUAAGCGAGGAGGAGGCUACUUUAGUUAAUACCUAGAGAUAGUGGACGUUACUCGCAGAAUAAGCACCGGCUAACUCUGUGCCAGCAGCCGCCGUAA
RNAcentral lists this ribosomal RNA (501 nucleotides) under uncultured bacterium. RNAcentral's name for it is "partial 16S ribosomal RNA". It matches the Rfam family "Bacterial small subunit ribosomal RNA", at positions 30 to 523 of the family's 1533-position model. The record is from RNAcentral.